UACGUAGGCAGCGAGCGUUGUUCGGAAUUACUGGGCGUAAAGAGUGUGUAGGCGGUGCUCUAAGUUCGGUGUGAAAUCUCCUGGCUUAACUGGGAGGGUGCGCCGGAAACUGGAGUGCUCGAACGUGGGAGAGGAAAGCGGAAUUCCUGGUGUAGCGGUGAAAUGCGCAGAUAUCAGGAAGAACACCCGUGGCGAAGGCGGUUCUCUGGGACGGUACUGACGCUGAGACGCGAAAGCGUGGGGAGCGAACAGG
Molecule: ribosomal RNA, 253 nt
Filed under: uncultured bacterium
Lineage: Bacteria
Description: partial 16S ribosomal RNA
Rfam family: Bacterial small subunit ribosomal RNA
Source: RNAcentral